UACGUAGGGUGCUAGCGUUGUCCGGAUUUAUUGGGCGUAAAGAGCUUGUAGGCGGCUCGUCGCGUCGGGUGUGAAACUUGCGGCUUAACCGCAAGCCUGCACCCGAUACGGGCGGGCUAGAGUUCGGCAGGGGGAGACUGGAAUUCCUGGUGUAGCGGUGGAAUGCGCAGAUAUCAGGAGGAACACCGGUGGCGAAGGCGGGUCUCUGGGCCGAUACUGACGCUGAGAAGCGAAAGCGUGGGGAGCGAACAGG
This 253-nucleotide ribosomal RNA is filed under the name uncultured bacterium. Its description in RNAcentral is "partial 16S ribosomal RNA". It matches the Rfam family "Bacterial small subunit ribosomal RNA", at positions 524 to 776 of the family's 1533-position model. The record is from RNAcentral.